AUUGAACGCUGGCGGCAGGCCUAACACAUGCAAGUCGAACGGUAGCACAGAGAGCUUGCUCUCGGGUGACGAGUGGCGGACGGGUGAGUAACGUCUGGGAAACUGCCCGAUGGAGGGGGAUAACUACUGGAAACGGUAGCUAAUACCGCAUAACGUCGCAAGACCAAAGUGGGGGACCUUCGGGCCUCACACUAUCGGAUGUGCCCAGAUGGGAUUAGCUAGUAGGUGGGGUAAUGGCUCACCUAGGCGACGAUCCCUAGCUGGUCUGAGAGGAUGACCAGCCACACUGGAACUGAGACACGGUCCAGACUCCUACGGGAGGCAGCAGUGGGGAGUAUUGCACAAUGGGCGCAAGCCUGAUGCAGCCAUGCCGCGUGUAUGAAGAAGGCCUUCGGGUUGUAAAGUACUUUCAGCGGGGAGGAAGGCGGUGAAGUUAAUAGCUUCACCGAUUGACGUUACCCGCAGAAGAAGCACCGGCUAACUACGUGCCAGCCGCCGCAGUAA
This 504-nucleotide ribosomal RNA is filed under the name uncultured bacterium. RNAcentral's name for it is "partial 16S ribosomal RNA". It matches the Rfam family "Bacterial small subunit ribosomal RNA", at positions 30 to 523 of the family's 1533-position model. The record is from RNAcentral.